UUGCUAAAGCAACGAUGGUACACAUUACAGUUGACACAAAACAACAAGACUGUCCUUAACAUAAGUACGUACUAAAUUACUAAUUCAAGAUAGAUAUAUAAUUUGAUUUGGAAGUGCAUGGAGAAAUGAAUCGUAGAGUAUUCAUGCACACGUACGUCUUCAAGGCAAUCCACCCCCAAGCCCACCGCCAGCACCAGCUCCUCCACCGAAACCUCCCCCAGCUCCUCCUCCAAGUCCUCCUCCACCACCACCACCGAAUCCUCCUCCGCCACCUCCUCCAGCUCCACCCCCAAGACCACCACCGGCUCCAAACCCACCACCGGCUCCCCCACCAAAACCUGAUCCACCACCUACUCCUCCACCGCCACCUCCGCCUAAUCCUCCACCGCCACCGCCACCAAGUCCACCACCUCCGCCAAGUCCGCCACCAGCUCCAGCUCCAGCACCACCACCGAAUCCAGCACCAGCACCAGCACCGCCUCCUAAACCUCCUCCACCUCCAAGACCACCACC
Molecule: long non-coding RNA, 513 nt
Filed under: Malus domestica (apple)
Lineage: Eukaryota; Viridiplantae; Streptophyta; Magnoliopsida; Rosales; Rosaceae
Description: long non-coding RNA (MDOM_LNC003278)
Source: RNAcentral